GGGUUGUGAGGUUAAGCGACUAAGCGUACACGGUGGAUGCCCUGGCAGUCAGAGGCGAUGAAGGACGUGCUAAUCUGCGAUAAGCGUCGGUGAGGUGAUAUGAACCGUUAUAACCGGCGAUUUCCGAAUGGGGAAACCCAGUGUGUUUCGACACACUAUCAUUAACUGAAUCCAUAGGUUAAUGAGGCGAACCGGGGGAACUGAAACAUCUAAGUACCCCGAGGAAAAGAAAUCAACCGAGAUUCCCCCAGUAGCGGCGAGCGAACGGGGAGGAGCCCAGAGCCUGAAUCAGUGUGUGUGUUAGUGGAAGCGUCUGGAAAGGCGCGCGAUACAGGGUGACAGCCCCGUACACAAAAAUGCACAUAUUGUGAGCUCGAUGAGUAGGGCGGGACACGUGGUAUCCUGUCUGAAUAUGGGGGGACCAUCCUCCAAGGCUAAAUACUCCUGACUGACCGAUAGUGAACCAGUACCGUGAGGGAAAGGCGAAAAGAACCCCGGCGAGGGGAGUGAAAAAGAACCUGAAACCGUGUACGUACAAGCAGUGGGAGCCUCUUAAUGGGGUGACUGCGUACCUUUUGUAUAAUGGGUCAGCGACUUAUAUUCUGUAGCAAGGUUAACCGAAUAGGGGAGCCGAAGGGAAACCGAGUCUUAACUGGGCGUUAAGUUGCAGGGUAUAGACCCGAAACCCGGUGAUCUAGCCAUGGGCAGGUUGAAGGUUGGGUAACACUAACUGGAGGACCGAACCGACUAAUGUUGAAAAAUUAGCGGAUGACUUGUGGCUGGGGGUGAAAGGCCAAUCAAACCGGGAGAUAGCUGGUUCUCCCCGAAAGCUAUUUAGGUAGCGCCUCGUGAAUUCAUCUCCGGGGGUAGAGCACUGUUUCGGCAAGGGGGUCAUCCCGACUUACCAACCCGAUGCAAACUGCGAAUACCGGAGAAUGUUAUCACGGGAGACACACGGCGGGUGCUAACGUCCGUCGUGAAGAGGGAAACAACCCAGACCGCCAGCUAAGGUCCCAAAGUCAUGGUUAAGUGGGAAACGAUGUGGGAAGGCCCAGACAGCCAGGAUGUUGGCUUAGAAGCAGCCAUCAUUUAAAGAAAGCGUAAUAGCUCACUGGUCGAGUCGGCCUGCGCGGAAGAUGUAACGGGGCUAAACCAUGCACCGAAGCUGCGGCAGCGACACUAUGUGUUGUUGGGUAGGGGAGCGUUCUGUAAGCCUGUGAAGGUGGCCUGUGAGGGUUGCUGGAGGUAUCAGAAGUGCGAAUGCUGACAUAAGUAACGAUAAAGCGGGUGAAAAGCCCGCUCGCCGGAAGACCAAGGGUUCCUGUCCAACGUUAAUCGGGGCAGGGUGAGUCGACCCCUAAGGCGAGGCCGAAAGGCGUAGUCGAUGGGAAACAGGUUAAUAUUCCUGUACUUGGUGUUACUGCGAAGGGGGGACGGAGAAGGCUAUGUUGGCCGGGCGACGGUUGUCCCGGUUUAAGCGUGUAGGCUGGUUUUCCAGGCAAAUCCGGAAAAUCAAGGCUGAGGCGUGAUGACGAGGCACUACGGUGCUGAAGCGACAAAUGCCCUGCUUCCAGGAAAAGCCUCUAAGCAUCAGGUAACAUUAAAUCGUACCCCAAACCGACACAGGUGGUCAGGUAGAGAAUACCAAGGCGCUUGAGAGAACUCGGGUGAAGGAACUAGGCAAAAUGGUGCCGUAACUUCGGGAGAAGGCACGCUGAUAUGUAGGUGAAGCGACUUGCUCGUGGAGCUGAAAUCAGUCGAAGAUACCAGCUGGCUGCAACUGUUUAUUAAAAACACAGCACUGUGCAAACACGAAAGUGGACGUAUACGGUGUGACGCCUGCCCGGUGCCGGAAGGUUAAUUGAUGGGGUUAGCGGCAACGCGAAGCUCUUGAUCGAAGCCCCGGUAAACGGCGGCCGUAACUAUAACGGUCCUAAGGUAGCGAAAUUCCUUGUCGGGUAAGUUCCGACCUGCACGAAUGGCGUAAUGAUGGCCAGGCUGUCUCCACCCGAGACUCAGUGAAAUUGAACUCGCUGUGAAGAUGCAGUGUACCCGCGGCAAGACGGAAAGACCCCGUGAACCUUUACUAUAGCUUGACACUGAACAUUGAGCCUUGAUGUGUAGGAUAGGUGGGAGGCUUUGAAGUGUGGACGCCAGUCUGCAUGGAGCCGACCUUGAAAUACCACCCUUUAAUGUUUGAUGUUCUAACGUGGGCCCGUAAUCCGGGUUGCGGACAGUGUCUGGUGGGUAGUUUGACUGGGGCGGUCUCCUCCUAAAGAGUAACGGAGGAGCACGAAGGUUGGCUAAUCCUGGUCGGACAUCAGGAGGUUAGUGCAAUGGCAUAAGCCAGCUUGACUGCGAGCGUGACGGCGCGAGCAGGUGCGAAAGCAGGUCAUAGUGAUCCGGUGGUUCUGAAUGGAAGGGCCAUCGCUCAACGGAUAAAAGGUACUCCGGGGAUAACAGGCUGAUACCGCCCAAGAGUUCAUAUCGACGGCGGUGUUUGGCACCUCGAUGUCGGCUCAUCACAUCCUGGGGCUGAAGUAGGUCCCAAGGGUAUGGCUGUUCGCCAUUUAAAGUGGUACGCGAGCUGGGUUUAGAACGUCGUGAGACAGUUCGGUCCCUAUCUGCCGUGGGCGCUGGAGAACUGAGGGGGGCUGCUCCUAGUACGAGAGGACCGGAGUGGACGCAUCACUGGUGUUCGGGUUGUCAUGCCAAUGGCACUGCCCGGUAGCUAAAUGCGGAAGAGAUAAGUGCUGAAAGCAUCUAAGCACGAAACUUGC
Molecule: ribosomal RNA, 2780 nt
Filed under: Escherichia coli
Lineage: Bacteria; Pseudomonadati; Pseudomonadota; Gammaproteobacteria; Enterobacterales; Enterobacteriaceae
Description: partial 23S ribosomal RNA
Rfam family: Bacterial large subunit ribosomal RNA
Source: RNAcentral